CAUUGAAACACCUGUUCCCAUAUUAUCUCUGAAGUUAAGCAACGUCGAGCGUGGUCAGUGCCUAGAUGGAUGACCGUUUGGGAAUACCAAUUGCUGUAAG
Molecule: non-coding RNA, 100 nt
Organism: Acanthosepion pharaonis
Lineage: Eukaryota; Metazoa; Mollusca; Cephalopoda; Sepiida; Sepiidae
Source: the annotation of a GenBank genome assembly